AGCUCCUCUGGGUCCCAUUCUGGCAGAAAACGUCUCGCUGCUGAACGCCUCUCCCACAGGACACCGAGCACUGCACCAGGAGAAAAGCUCUGCCAAUGAGGUAAGAAAUGUCUUCACCCAGAUGAAGAGUCUUCAACACUUAAUAUAUGGCGUGCUCAAGACAAUGUCUUCAGUCAAGAAAGCUGUUUAAGCACAGAGAAAAAUCCCUUUCUCCUAAAACAGCUGCAUGUUGGGCAAAACACAUGGUGUUGGAACUUUGCAAGGAAUUUUCUUGUAAAGCUAAAACAUUUUACUGAGAAGAAAAAAACUUCAUGAGAAAACCUUCACAAUAUAUUUUAAAAUCUUAAUUUCAUGACAAAGCUUGUCUGAACUGCCUUUAAAUUUAACAUUUAUGCCACUCUGAAAGGAAACUAAACAUUUAAGAUAAACAGCAGAAUCAGCAAAUCUAUACAGCAGACAACAACACGGCGCUGGAAUCCUCCUGCGCAAGUACUUGAACACUGUUGUAAGAAAUGGCAUUGGGUGAGACUGCGGUGGCUCGAUAAAAUCCAACAAGAAAUAAUCCACUUAUGAGAGGAAGGACUGUAGGAUUCCCCCUUUGCAUGAGAAGGAGCCAUAUGCUCAGAGGUCUACGGGAGUAAAAAUGUUGACCACAGAGAAACAAACCAUAUUCUUCAGGCCAGUGUACAUCUGAGAUUCUGUUACUCACAAAUGAAUACCACGGCAUUUGUCAAGGGUCCUGUUCUCCACUGGUGAGAUCCGUGGAUAUGCAUUCGACCAGCAUUGCGAAUAGAAUUCCCUGGUGAUGAAGCCUUAAUGCGG
Long non-coding RNA from Lepisosteus oculatus (spotted gar), 822 nucleotides. RefSeq lists it as uncharacterized. The record is from RefSeq and is a predicted model, not a curated record. Lineage: Eukaryota; Metazoa; Chordata; Actinopteri; Semionotiformes; Lepisosteidae.